UUACGGCCUUACCACGUUGAAACCCCAGUUCUCGUUGGAUCACCGAGUUUAAGCAACGUCGAGACUGGCCAGUACCUAGAUGGGUAACUGCUUGGGAAUAUCAUGUGCUGUAA
Molecule: non-coding RNA, 113 nt
Organism: Acanthosepion pharaonis
Lineage: Eukaryota; Metazoa; Mollusca; Cephalopoda; Sepiida; Sepiidae
Source: the annotation of a GenBank genome assembly